Molecule: long non-coding RNA, 1003 nt
Organism: Talpa occidentalis (Iberian mole)
Lineage: Eukaryota; Metazoa; Chordata; Mammalia; Eulipotyphla; Talpidae
Exons: 3
Source: RefSeq, a predicted model, not a curated record
CGCAAACCUAGAGGGCGGAAGUGCGUGACCUCACCCGCCUGCGCACUUCCUCCUUCCGGCCCUGGCCUCAGUCGGCCUUGGUUGUGCAGUUGGCAAAGGGAAGGGGCUGAGCCAGGGGAGUGUAACGCUUUUUUUGGUUUAGUUGCUGCUCAUAACAGCUGUGCGGCGUGGGGAAGAACUGUGCGGAAAGGCAAAUUACGGUAAAAGUAGGUCCCAACUCUACCACAUGGCCAGCUAAUUUAUCUCGCCUUCUGAACCUGUUAGCUCGGCUCAGAAAUGGAGGCCAUCAUAUGUCUUAGAAUAAUACCAGCUUCUUGGAUUGCUAUGAAGAGUAAGUGAGAUCGUUUAUGAACACACUUUGUAAACGCAAGUAAACCAUUUAAGUGUGACCAGGUGCCAGAGGUGAGAGCAUUCACCAGAGACAGAGUGGGGAGCAGAAGAGGCAGAUGGACUGAAAAACAUUGCUGAGAGGAUCAGCAGAACCAUGUUGUCCUUGUCAGCAGGACAUUGCACAGGCCAUUCCUUCUGCCUGGAGCCCUCUUCAGUCUCCCAUCCCCCAUCAACCUCAGCACGUACUCAUACACACUUUUCUCUGGGCAACUUCUACUCAUCCUCUGUGUUCCAGCUUUUGGGUCCCUUUCUCCUUAGUCAGCAUUAAAUGUUCCUAUUACAUGUUCUUAUAACGUUCAAUGCAUCUGUUAUGGUAGACACUCUAUCGUAGUAGUAUUCUGUGUUCCCCAGAAAGAGACAUUGGAAAGAAAAACGUCAAAUUCAGGCCAAUGACUUUCCUGUUUUGUUACUUUCUCCGGGUAUUGCUGGUGAAGAGAAGAAUAUGAAUGCUGCUUUCACUCACAUGCUGUGACAGGCACAAACAGGAGCAUUGUGACUCAUGGCUUGUGCAGGACUGCUUAUGGCCAAGUGUAACAGGCCUGUGUACGGGAUUUCAGGUCCUACUAGUGAGAAAAUUCAUAUGACAUGCUUCUCUCACCCCACCCCCAGCUGU